This is a long non-coding RNA of Morone saxatilis (striped sea-bass), 363 nucleotides long. RefSeq lists it as uncharacterized. The record is from RefSeq and is a predicted model, not a curated record. The transcript has 3 exons. Lineage: Eukaryota; Metazoa; Chordata; Actinopteri; Moronidae.
GGCCAAUAAAAAGAGGAGGGAGGAGUCAGAGAAGAAGCUCCACCCCGAACCAGAUGAUGCCACGCCCCCUCCUCCUCCUCAGGUGCAGAGAGGACCCAGGAUCCCGGAGGAAGGCGGAGCCCCGGACAGCGAGGCCCUUCAGGUGAAGGAGCUGAGGCAGCAGGCCUCGUUGUACCGCCAUCGAGGCUGGGGGGCUAAUUUCUCCAGAGGGCAUCUGAGCCAGCUAGUGUCUGAACACAACGCUCUGUGGGAGCCCACAGACACCACGGACUCAACCUCCGACCCCCCCAGCCCCCGCCUGACCUCCGACCUCUGUCCCGAUCCAGACAGCCGCAGCACCUCCCACGUGGAGGCCCUGGACCU